Molecule: unclassified non-coding RNA, 3216 nt
Filed under: Leishmania donovani
Lineage: Eukaryota; Euglenozoa; Kinetoplastea; Trypanosomatida; Trypanosomatidae
Description: gene:LdHU3.03.1040(CDS-product:Multicopper_oxidas e_putative)
Source: RNAcentral
AGCAUAUCUGUACGUGUGGUAGUUGCUCAAGCGCGUGCGCUUUGGUUAGGAGCCAUGCGUGCACCGCUCGCCUUGCUGCUGCUGGCCAUUGUUGUGUGCCGGCACAUAGCAGCGGGUAAUGCCGCUGAUGCUGUCUCAUCACCCGUCAUACUUCCUAGGGGCAGAAGCAACACCAAGGUCACACUCUACGUGCGCACCGGACGGGUCUCCAUCCCGCUCGAGUGGAUCGAUGGGAAAGAGGUUUUCUUCGAGUACACGGGACGCUUAUAUGAAGUGGGCAACAGCGGGCCCAUGCUUCCCGGCCCCACGCUGAAGGUCAACCCUGGCGGUAGAAUUGUCUUGAAACUAGUGAACGACCUGGGAAAGGAGGGGAUGGCCAACAUGACAGGUCGGAUGAACACGCUCCACGGUCCUAACAUCACGAACGUGCACUUCCACGGCAUGCACAGCGAUCCUAAAAUGGACAAUCCUUUCAAAGUUGCACUCCCGGGCGAGACGCUGGUGUACACGAUCAAUGUUCCGCGCGAUCACGAGCCGGGCCUUCACUGGUAUCAUGCGCACUCCCACGGUGCCGUCUACUAUCACGUGAUGGGUGGGAUGUUCGGGGCCAUCGAUGUGGGGGAAGGCGACUUUACAAAGACCCCAAGGCACCCCUUUCAUGGCUGGGACUCGCAGAUUCUCAUGGUGCACCUGUAUCGCCUUAACACCUCGGAAAGGUGCGACGGGAUGCCGAUGUCAAGCCUUGACGCCGCGAUGAGCUCCCUCCUCCCAUUCGAUCCGCGUAUUGUGGACCGCAAGGGCAACGAGUACGAGAUGCCGGCCGAGCUGUUUCUCGUGAACGGCCAGCAUCGCCCGACCGUGAGGGUCAAGCGUGGCCAUCCGAUGCUGCUGCGCAUCGGGUUUGCGGCAGGCUCGUGCUACAUAAAUAUGUCGCUCCCCAAGCAGUGCGCCUUCCACAUGACAGCCAUCGAUGGCGCGCAGCUGCCCCGCACUGUCGAGGUGGUGGAGGGCUGGCUGUACUUCACGACGGCAACGCGACGCAGUCUGGUCGUGGUGUGCGACGAGGAGGGGACGUAUCCGGUGUCCCACACUGGCGACCCCUCAGACGCCAUCUUCUACUUGAAGUCGAGAGGGAAGCACCAGAAGGGUGGUCGCGCUGUAGCCUUCCCCGUGACCAUGCACAAGUACUCCCCUGGCUACUUGCAGCUCAAAGGUCAAAACACUUUCUACCGCGAGAUCUCGUUCUCGCAGCGGGACCUGCCCAUCACAAAGCCGUACUAUGUCCUCGGUCAGGGGCCGAACUGUCAAUCGCUGCAGAAUUCGUCGACGUGCCACUAUGAGUACUUCCAAGGCGAGAUCGGCAGGCGCAUCGAGGGCUAUCACGGCUUCACAGUGCCGCUGCAUGCGGUUGUGACGGCGCGCGUGUACGGUGAUCCGACCGACAAGCGACCGCAUCCCCUUCACUUUCACGUCAACCACUUCCAGUUUCUCUCCUUCGAGCCCCGCCCCGGGGGCAAUCACGAAAACGAGACCAUGGCCAUGUACGGCGUACACAGCGGCGAGUUCCGUGACACGAUUCCGAUCUUGGACGGCGUCACCACCAUCCGCUGGAAGGCGGCAACGUACGUUGGCGAGGUGGUGUACCACUGUCAUGCCCUCCAACACGAGGACCGCGGCAUGAUGAUGUCCUAUCUGGUCUACUCCCCACGGAGCAAGGAGGGCAAGGCCGUGCAGCGAUACGAGCAGUCGCAGACCGGCGCGUUCCUCUUGACCUGGCCGCACCGCUCACACGCGUAUAGCCUUCUCUGUGUGUUCCUCCUCGCCUCCGCAGCAGUUGCAGCGUGGGGGUACUUGCGACACCGAGACAUGCGCUGCUCUGCCGACGCUCAAAGUGCCUUCGAUGCACGAUCAUACGCCGGAACGCCAGGGGAACGCAUUCCCCUUCUCGAGCGCCACGCGUGAAGGCACAUUUGAGAAAAAGGUGGCCCCGCUAGUACACUGUAUUACCCUCUUCCGCUUCCCUCCCCUCUCUGUAGGAAGCGUGCUUGUGUGCGUGUGGACAUGAUGCAGUGCAUGCGUAAUACAUAGACACUGUCGAUCUCACACAGCCGCAGAAGGUGGCGGUUCACGUACACGCAGCCGACGCCUCUUUCCCUGAUUCUGUACCCUUUUCCCGUCUCUCCCUUUGUUGCUUUUCCUGUGUGUGUGUGUGUGUGUGUGUGUGUGUGCUGUCUUCUUUUGAUAUUGUUUCCUCUUUGGAUUUCGCGAGUGCGCUUGUGCGUCUUCUCUCGUGCGCGUGUCGCGAAACUGCUCUCUUUCCGUUUUCUUCUCUCUUGUGUUGCAUUCACGUCUCUGUAAAAUUGUCUGCAGCUGUGAGGCGGCGCUUCUCCUGCCAUCGCUCUUCCUCCUCUCUCGUCAUCUGCCGUCGCCCCUACACCGACUGUCUCUUUUGAGUGCCGUGUUGCCAAGGCAUCGUUCUCAACACGGUACACAUCCACGGAGAGCGUGCCUACGCUUCAGCAGUUGAGGGGUAGGCGGGGCGAGAGAAAGAGCGAGGCGGAGAGCACGGGGGCACGCAAAGAUGAUUGGUCGCCUCGGCAGGCAUGAGGGGCGCGGAGCUGUGUCGGUGCGCCGGUGUUGGACGACGCCAGGUCGCGAAGAAAUGAGCAUCAGCAAGGCAAAUGAAAGGGAAACGAAACAGCGCACAUGAUGUCUAGCGAAAGCAUGACGGGGACGGGCGGACGCUUGCACUCCUUGUUGAGCGAAGCGACGGACAUUGAGGCGAUGAGAGGGAGAGAAGCGGCUGGCCGAAGUGGUGGCAUGGCCAGUCUUGCCUUUCAGCGUGAAGGCAUGCGCACACUCACUGGGGGUGCACCUUGCAAACGGUCUCUCUCUCGUGCUCCGCCCUCUUCUUGCCUCUGGGCUCUGCGCACGAGUGAACGCUCAUCGAGCUGACGAUGCAUAAAGCACUGAAAAUGCGCGCCAUCCUUCAAAGCCGGAGAGAGAGAGAGAGCGAGAUGGGAGGGUGGCGUCACCGUGUAUGUGCUGCCUUCGUGUGUAUUGGAGCUUGAAGAGGUACCCCGAGGCGUGAACUCUCGUACUCCCCACUCCUCUUCCGCUUCUCGGCAACGAGCACUGCUGCACGUGCGUUUAAGCAUGCUACCCCUACAUCCGUCGCUGUGUUCCCCUUAUUCCUCGGCUAUCGCCUUCGUUCAG